This 253-nucleotide ribosomal RNA is filed under the name uncultured bacterium. RNAcentral's name for it is "partial 16S ribosomal RNA". It matches the Rfam family "Bacterial small subunit ribosomal RNA", at positions 524 to 776 of the family's 1533-position model. The record is from RNAcentral.
UACGGAGGGUGCAAGCGUUAUCCGGAUUCACUGGGUUUAAAGGGUGCGUAGGCGGGUUGGUAAGUCCGUGGUGAAAUCUCCGAGCUUAACUCGGAAACUGCCGUGGAUACUAUCAAUCUUGAAUAUCGUGGAGGUAAGCGGAAUAUGUCAUGUAGCGGUGAAAUGCUUAGAUAUGACAUAGAACACCAAUUGCGAAGGCAGCUGGCUAGACCUGGAUUGACGCUGAGGCACGAAAGCGUGGGGAGCGAACAGG